GCGUUUUGAGCAGCGCGCCGUUGUUGAGAAGGGGUUUGGUUUGGUUUGGUUUGGGCUUGUAGCGUUCUCGUUCUGUUGGCGUGUUUUCGUUCUCGUUCUCGUUUGGAGAGCGUUUUCGUUCUCGUUUGGCAGCGUUCUCGUUUGCAGACCCAAAACAACAAAACCAAACACUCUGAAACUCUUUUGCUUUGCUUUGAUUCGACUAGACUAAACUAAAA
This 218-nucleotide unclassified non-coding RNA is filed under the name uncultured fungus. RNAcentral's name for it is "sequence contains ITS1, 5.8S rRNA gene". Lineage: Eukaryota; Fungi. The record is from RNAcentral.